UCCUACUGCAGUUUCAUAUGCAAAGCAUGCAUCAGCCACAUCCAUGCUAUCUCCUAAAGCAGUCAUUCUGAAACCCAAUCUGGGGACAGUGCAGACUAAAUAAAAUUUCAUUUUGAUUUGGCCUCCCGCUGCGAAUGGGACUGCUUUGUCUCAGCCGACAGAACCAGCAAGCCAGAAAGGGAAUGAAGACAUUUGGAGAAGAAGCGUUUACUGAAAGGAGAUUCCUGGGCUGGAGGAAAACCAUGAUCUACAGUUCAUGUUGACAGAUAUUGUAUUUUUGGUCCUAGAUCUGACUUUUGAAAUGACUUAUCACAAAUUCAAAUUUAGCAAUCAUGAGUGAAGUACCCACGAUGUGCUAAGCAUCUACCUCUGCAGAUAGAAGAACACUUACUGUUCCUGAGCAUGGGAGGGAAUAGAAGUUCCUGGGUCCUGGCCUCACCUCAUCAGGCACUGCCAAAUUUGACACCUCCUUCCUGUUCACGGCAGUCCUUUGCGAUAGGGUAUUAGAUGCCACCAAGUAGCUGCAUAACUCACCCAUUUGGUCAGAGCCUGGGUCUAAGCCAGGUCUGACAGACUCCAAAGCAAGCCCUGUUUACAGCAUGACUGGGAUCCAGUGGACGAGGGAACUGAGCUGUCAAAACUAAGUGACUUGAUUGAGGCCAUGCAGCUGGCGAGGGGAGGACCAGGAUCUGAACCCAACUGGGUCUCCCAAGCCUGGGCCACUGAACCAUUUCACCUCUUGGAAAAACUUAAUGGUCAGAGUGGCCCACCCAGUCCAUGGACAGCAUGGAGUGGUAUGGUGGAAGAGGAGGGAAGAAAACCUGUGUAUUGUAAGUCAUAUUCUUCUAUGGUGUGAAGGUUAACGUAAGUUUUAAGAAAGUUUUUUUUUUUAAUUUUAUUAUAUGAUCUUGCUCUAAAGGGAUGUAAAUUCAGAUGCUGAAUUGCACACAUCCUUUCUCUUUCAUAUUUUCAAUAUUGAACGUAAUUUCAAUAUUUAACAUAAAACAAUGAGUACAUUGUCUCCACCUCAUUGUUUUUGGGUGGUGUUUGUGAGGAGCCUGCGUUCUUUGGAAGGAAGACCUUUCAGAUGACCUGACCAGUCCUCCUCUUCAGAACCCGGAUGCUGGCGAAGCAGUUUGAAUUUUAUGCUUGUGAAAGGGCUCCGUUGAUGAUUUUGAUGUCUGCAGCUUUCCACCCGUAUGACCAGACACAUUCUCACCAGCUCCAUAUAUCAAGAUAAGGAGGGGAAACCUGGUAGCUUUUCCUUCUGUUAACUGCUGGCAUCAGCUGAGUGAUGCAGACAUUUCUCUAUUAAGAACUGAGCUGAGACUGAAGCUUCAUUUUGUAUGAGACUGUGCAGAGGUCGUCUAAAGUCUCUCCCAGGUGUGGUUAUUAAGAUCCUGGAUUUGAAACUGUGACCUACUGGUUUGCCAGAUGCCAAGAACAAAUGCUCUGAAAUUGAUUUGCCAAAAGACAUGAUGAGCUGCUCUAACUUGCCUGGGAAGAGUGGAAUAUUUAACCUGUGGGUGAGACUCCCUCUUGCUACCUAUCAGCUUUGCCACUGCUCUGAUAGAGAAACAUCUUGGGAGCAGAGUUGGUAAGAGUGAAUCAGACGUAUCUGCCGGAAUAGGACUCGUGGCACCUGCUUGUUCGAUCCCUCAUUUCCACCCCCUCUAUCCUUUGCCUAUUGUCAGUCAUUGUGGUUGGUCCAUUCAGAAGAAUCGUGAAUAUUCAUAGCCACCCUAAUUUACCAAUAUAUAUUCAAUAAUGUCAGAGAUCUGUACAUGUGAUUCCUGAGCUUAUUACAGUAACAAGUUUCUCCAAUGCUACUGG
RNAcentral lists this long non-coding RNA (1833 nucleotides) under Homo sapiens (human). RNAcentral's name for it is "HSALNT0304589". The record is from RNAcentral. Lineage: Eukaryota; Metazoa; Chordata; Mammalia; Primates; Hominidae.